AGCGAACGCUGGCGGCAUGCCUAACACAUGCAAGUCGAACGAGACCUUCGGGUCUAGUGGCGCACGGGUGCGUAACGCGUGGGAACCUGCCCUUAGGUUCGGAAUAACUCCCCGAAAGGGGUGCUAAUACCGGAUAAUGUCUUCGGACCAAAGAUUUAUCGCCUUUGGAUGGGCCCGCGUUGGAUUAGCUAGUUGGUAGGGUAAAAGCCUACCAAGGCGACGAUCCAUAGCUGGUCUGAGAGGAUGAUCAGCCACACUGGGACUGAGACACGGCCCAGACUCCUACGGGAGGCAGCAGUGGGGUAUAUUGGACAAUGGGCGAAAGCCUGAUCCAGCAAUGCCGCGUGAGUGAUGAAGGCCUUAGGGUUGUAAAGCUCUUUUACCCGGGAUGACAAUGACAGUACCGGGAGAAUAAGCUCCGGCUAACUCCGUG
Molecule: ribosomal RNA, 433 nt
Filed under: uncultured bacterium
Lineage: Bacteria
Description: partial 16S ribosomal RNA
Rfam family: Bacterial small subunit ribosomal RNA
Source: RNAcentral